RNAcentral lists this ribosomal RNA (484 nucleotides) under uncultured bacterium. RNAcentral's name for it is "partial 16S ribosomal RNA". It matches the Rfam family "Bacterial small subunit ribosomal RNA", at positions 30 to 507 of the family's 1533-position model. The record is from RNAcentral.
AUUGAACGCUGGCGGCAGGCCUAACACAUGCAAGUCGAGCGGAUGAAGGGAGCUUGCUCCUGGAUUCAGCGGCGGACGGGUGAGUAAUGCCUAGGAAUCUGCCUGGUAGUGGGGGAUAACGUCCGGAAACGGGCGCUAGUACCGCAUACGUCCUGAGGGAGAAAGUGGGGGAUCUUCGGACCUCACGCUAUCAGAUGAGCCCAGGUCGGAUUAGCUAGUUGGUGGGGUAAAGGCCUACCAAGGCGACGAUCCGUAACUGGUCUGAGAGGAUGAUCAGUCACACUGGAACUGAGACACGGUCCAGACUCCUACGGGAGGCAGCAGUGGGGAAUAUUGGACAAUGGGCGAAAGCCUGAUCCAGCCAUGCCGCGUGUGUGAAGAAGGUCUUCGGAUUGUAAAGCACUUUAAGUUGGGAGGAAGGGCAGUAAGUUAAUACCUUGCUGUUUUGACGUUACCAACAGAAUAAGCACCGGCUAACUUCGUG